CAGCCGCCGCGGGAAUACGGAGGGGGCUAGCGUUGUUCGGAAUUACUGGGCGUAAAGCGUACGUAGGCGGCUUUGUAAGUUAGAGGUGAAAGCCCGGGGCUCAACCCCGGAAUUGCCUUUAAGACUGCAUCGCUUGAAUCGCGGAGAGGUGAGUGGAAUUCCGAGUGUAGAGGUGAAAUUCGUAGAUAUUCGGAAGAACACCAGUGGCGAAGGCGGCUCACUGGACGCGUAUUGACGCUGAGGUACGAAAGCGUGGGGAGCAAACAGGAUUAGAUACCCGAGUAGUCCCUGUCUCUUAUAC
RNAcentral lists this ribosomal RNA (301 nucleotides) under uncultured bacterium. RNAcentral describes it as "partial 16S ribosomal RNA". It matches the Rfam family "Bacterial small subunit ribosomal RNA", at positions 509 to 807 of the family's 1533-position model. The record is from RNAcentral.